UACGUAGGGUGCGAGCGUUAAUCGGAAUUACUGGGCGUAAAGCGUGCGCAGGCGGUUUUGUAAGUCAGAUGUGAAAUCCCCGGGCUCAACCUGGGAACUGCGUUUGAAACUACAAGGCUAGAGUGUAGCAGAGGGGGGUAGAAUUCCACGUGUAGCAGUGAAAUGCGUAGAGAUGUGGAGGAAUACCAAUGGCGAAGGCAGCCCCCUGGGUUAACACUGACGCUCAUGCACGAAAGCGUGGGGAGCAA
This 248-nucleotide ribosomal RNA is filed under the name uncultured bacterium. RNAcentral's name for it is "partial 16S ribosomal RNA". It matches the Rfam family "Bacterial small subunit ribosomal RNA", at positions 524 to 771 of the family's 1533-position model. The record is from RNAcentral.